RNAcentral lists this ribosomal RNA (110 nucleotides) under Danio rerio (zebrafish). The record is from RNAcentral. Lineage: Eukaryota; Metazoa; Chordata; Actinopteri; Cypriniformes; Danionidae.
GCUGGCAGUUAGCUCUCUGCAACUCUACAUAGUCGCUGAAGCUAAGCAGGGCUGCGCCCAGUCAGUACCUGAAUGGGAGACCGCAUGGGAAAUCUAGGUUGCUGCAGGAA